CUUUUGUUUACAAAUACAAAAGCCCGAAAUCAAAGAUAAUCUGUAUUCGUCGUCUCGUAAUUCACAGAUCGAUCAUCUUCUUCACAAUCAAAGGAAUGGAAGAUCACAACGUCAAUCUGAAGCCAUUACAGCUAUUCGUGAGGCUUCUGAAUGGAAAAACCGCAACCCUAAAUUUCUCUACUCCAAGUGUGUAUGGCCACGAGAUCAAGAAUCGCAUCUACGAAGCCACCAAAAUACCCACCCACCUUCAGCGACUUAUCUACUCUGGCAUCCAAUUGAAGGACGGAUCCGUAAUUUCCGAUGAUAACAUCACCUUCCACCUCGUGCUUCCUCUUUUGGGAGGAAAAGGUGGGUUCGGGUCUUUACUCCGUGGCGCGGCUACAAAGGCGGGUCAAAAGAAGACAAACAACUUUGAUGCGUGUCGAGAUAUGAGUGGACGGAGGUUGAGGCACGUGAAUGCGGAGAAGAAGUUGGAAGAGUGGAAGAUGGAGGUAGAGGAGAGGAGGUUGGAGAAAAUUGCGGAGGAAUUUAUUAAGAAGGCAGCGAAAAAAGGGAAAAAAGGAGUUGGAGAUGGAGAGGCUGAGAAGUACGUGUCCACGUAUAGAGAAGAGUCGGCGAAGUGUGUGGCUAAGGUUGAGGAAUCGGUGAGGGAGGCGUUUGGCAAUGUUAAACGAAAGACUGUUGGAACAGCAGCAGCGGAGGCCAAAAGGUUGAAGAUUUGGAUGGGGAAGAGAAAAUUGGGUGAAAGUGAAGAUGAAGAUAGUGAGGAUGACAAUGGUGAAGAAAAUGAGAAAUCUAUAGUUUUAAAUAAUAGGAGUCAAUCAGAUUUAAGUGAGGGUACUGAGGGGAGUACAGGUUCAGUUACAGAUGGGAAACCAGAUGGAGAACUUUCUGGUGAAGGUUCAUCUGAGAGUGGUUCUGAAGAAGAGAAAGAGACUCUUGUGCAGCCAAACUUUGAAUCCAGUGGAUGCUCCAGUGAAGAUGCGAACCCUGAGGAGAAUGGUGUGGCUGAACCCAAGAUUAAUGAAGAAAAGGUGCAGAGUACUGGAGCCUUUAGCGUGGAGCUGAAAUUGGUUUCUGUAACUGAAGCUAUGCACAAGUCUGGUGGUGGACCUGCAGCUGGAAAUUCAGAGGAAGUAGUUGGUGAAUCUCCAAAUGUUUUGAGUUCAAGAGAUGAGGAAGUUAAUGAAAAUGGACCCAUGGAUGCUGAAGCUAGUGGUGCCUCUGAAAGUAAAUUCAGAGUUCCCGAAGGAGCAGUUGUUGCAUGUACAAAUGUUGGAGAAUUGAAAAGGCCUUUGGAUUUUAAUGAAUUCAAUUCAGCUGUGGAGAUGGAGGCUCUUGGCAUGGAAAGAUUAAAAUCUGAACUCCAAGCACGUGGGCUAAAAUGCGGGGGCACCUUGCAAGAGCGUGCUACCAGGCUUUUCUUGCUGAAAUCAACCCCAGUGGAGAAGCUUCCAAAGAAGUUGCUUGCGAAGAAGUAAUAGUUUUAUCUGUGUGUUUAAUCUUAGUCGGUACUGUUGUGGAUGAAUUAUUGCCUCAUUUCAUUGAAAUGUAAUUCAUCGCAUGGCUCAACUCACAUUAUUUUUCACCCUUUAAACACAACCACUAAAUACUCUAAUUUUCAAGGAAAUGAUUUUAUUUUAUUUUUUACAA
RNA transcript from Mangifera indica (mango), 1653 nucleotides. It is a transcript of the gene named replication stress response regulator SDE2-like, with no coding region annotated. The record is from RefSeq and is a predicted model, not a curated record. Lineage: Eukaryota; Viridiplantae; Streptophyta; Magnoliopsida; Sapindales; Anacardiaceae. The transcript has 4 exons.